GUGACCUCAAAUCAGGUAGGACUACCCGCUGAACUUAAGCAUAUCAAUAAGCGGAGGAAAAGAAACUAACAAGGAUUCCCUAGUAACUGCGAGUGAAGCGGGAAAAGCUCAAAUUUAAAAUCUGUCAGUCUUUGGCUGUCCGAGUUGUAAUCUAGAGAAGUGUUAUCUGCGCUGGACCAUGUAUAAGUCUCC
This 192-nucleotide ribosomal RNA is filed under the name uncultured Cortinarius. RNAcentral describes it as "partial 28S ribosomal RNA". It matches the Rfam family "Eukaryotic large subunit ribosomal RNA", at positions 1 to 190 of the family's 3401-position model. The record is from RNAcentral. Lineage: Eukaryota; Fungi; Basidiomycota; Agaricomycetes; Agaricales; Cortinariaceae.